Molecule: ribosomal RNA, 440 nt
Filed under: uncultured bacterium
Lineage: Bacteria
Description: partial 16S ribosomal RNA
Rfam family: Bacterial small subunit ribosomal RNA
Source: RNAcentral
CCUACGGGCGGCAGCAGUGGGGGAUAUUGCACAAUGGGGGGAACCCUGAUGCAGCGACGCCGCGUGGGUGAAGAAGCGCCUCGGCGCGUAAAGCCCUGUCAGCAGGGAAGAAAAUGACGGUACCUGAAGAAGAAGCCCCGGCUAACUACGUGCCAGCAGCCGCGGUAAUACGUCGGGGGCAAGCGUUAUCCGGAUGUACUGGGUGUAAAGGGGGCGCAGCCGGCGAUGCAAGCCAGGAGUGAAAGCCCGGGGCUCAACCCCGGGACUGCUCUUGGAACUGCGUGGCUGGAGUGCAGGAGGGGAAGGCGGAAUUCCUGGUGUAGCGGUGAAAUGCGUAGAUAUAAGGAGGAACACCGGUGGCGAAGGCGGCCUGCUGGACUGCAACUGACGUUGAGGCCCGAAAGCGUGGGGAGCAAACAGGAUUAGAUACCCUUGUAGUC